Molecule: non-coding RNA, 1271 nt
Organism: Phascolarctos cinereus (koala)
Lineage: Eukaryota; Metazoa; Chordata; Mammalia; Diprotodontia; Phascolarctidae
Source: RefSeq, a predicted model, not a curated record
GGUCCUGGGGCAGAAAAGAUGUGGCCACUGAACCCAGGGCAUUGGAUGCCAAGAGAGUGACUCAGCUUUGCACCCCAUUCCAAUCUCAAUCCCUUUGGAAAGGGCUCAAAGCCAGAGUAGGGAAGCUUGCCUUCCAUUCCCACAGCAGGUUAGAGAAGAACCAAAAAACAGGAAAUAAUGAGGUCAGUAGGAAGACAGUGGGUGGCUGUGCAGGCCCCAGUACAAUGCGUUCAGCCUGUCACCAGGACCCAAAGCAGCCACUCGUCCUGAGAACUCCUUCUGUGACCAGUCUCCAGCAUGUGAGAGCAGAGCCUAGUCAAGAAAACUCCUCCAGUGACCUGUUUCCCUGUUUUGUUCUGGAGCCAGAGAAGAUGCACAUAGCAUGUGGGAGUAGAAGCAGCAAUGGAAUGAAAUCAAAAGACCUUUCCCUAAAACCCAAGGAAAACCAAGUGAAAGGGCAGCAAAGGACUUCUAUAAACCAAGACCUCCAAACAGAGCGCUUCAGGAAGCCCUCCCUACCCCUGCAAAGGCUUGUCCACCAGCUUCUCCAUCUCCCCCCACGAGGCAAUUGGGGUUAAGUGACUUGCCCAGGGUCACACAGCUAGAAACAGCAGGGACCUACUUCUUGGAGAAGCUCUCCUACCACAUGGGUGGAAGCAGCCUCUUUCCAUUGGCUGCAGCUGUAACUGGAACAGGCUGCAGCUUUUAAAAAAUACCAUCCUGGGACGAUUUCUUGCUCUUUCUGGCUGUGUCCCGAAGCACACUGUCCCCGAAGCACAGACAUUAUGAACUGAGCUUGUGUGGGGAAAAGUCUUCUCUCCCCCCACCUUUUAGGCCCUCUGCCCUGCCCCCCAAAAUGGACUUGGAGCUUUGUGCUGUUCAUUUGUCCAUUUUAGUUCUAGAUGCAAGUUUAGGUGGUGGAGUCCCUGGACCCAGGACCUCCAACCAUGUUUGGUCGAUGGUUGUCCUUCCUUCCUGAAGAGGACCAAAAUGACAUCACCGUGUUGGGGUCAAGGUGCAGUGUGUGCAACUGUGGCUGAUCAGACCAGUACGAGCUCUGAAGGCUCUACGACAGGUGCUUAAUAAAAACUUAAGGAACCGAAUUGAAUUCCCCUGGAGUCAGGGAUGUCUCCAAACAUCUCAGUUUCCCAAAGGGAGCUGUUAUCAAGAAAUUGAUCUAAGUCCUUCCAGAAGCAGCUUGGUGGUACAAGUGGAUAGAACACUGGACCUAGAGUCAGGAGGCCCCAAGUUCAAAUUCAGCCUCACAAAUG